Long non-coding RNA from Diceros bicornis minor, 776 nucleotides. RefSeq lists it as uncharacterized. The record is from RefSeq and is a predicted model, not a curated record. The transcript has 6 exons. NCBI's taxonomy places the organism in Eukaryota, Metazoa, Chordata, Mammalia, Perissodactyla, Rhinocerotidae.
AUGCCUUCGCUAUUACAUAGCUGAUCGUUUAAACAAUGAUCCUGGGUGGAAAAAUUUGACAGUUAUUUUAUCUGAUGCUAGUGCUCCUGGUGAAGGAGAACAUAAAAUUAUGGAUUACAGUAGAAGACAAAGAGCUCAGCCUAACCAUGACCCAAACACUCAUCAUUGCUUAUGUGGAGCAGAUGCUGAUCUCAUUAUGCUCGGCCUUGCUACACAUGAACCCAACUUUACCAUUAUUAGAGAAGAAUUCAAACCAAACAAACCCAAGCCAUGUGCUCUUUGUAAUCAGUUUGGACAUGAAGUUAAGGACUGUGAAGGUUUGCCAAGAGAAAAGAAGGGAAAGUAUUUGGAAAGAGAGCUCACCAUGGCCAGCCUACCGUUCACAUUUGAUGUCGAGAGGAGCGUUGAUGACUGGGUCUUCAUGUGCUUCUUUGUGGGAAAUGACUUCCUUCCUCACCUGCCGUCGUUAGAGAUUCGGGUUACCUUACAGAAAGUGGUUAUGUCAAUCUGCAAAGAGUACAGAUGAUCAUGUUAGCAGUUGGUGAAGUUGAGGAUACCAUUUUUAAAAAGAGAAAGGAUGAUGAGGUAAAGUGUUUCUAUUGCAGUAGCUAAAUUGCUCCUGUCUCUAAUAGGCUAUGAUGAUCCUGUGAUUGUACUUUUAACCUCUUUGAGUGUGUUGUUAUAUUAUUAUAGUGUAUCAAACGCCAAUGUAAUCAUGAGUGGCCAGUGCUUUGAUUAUUUUAUAAAGGCUGUGAUGCUUGCUGUGUGGAACUGUG